UUUAACUGAGCGUUCAGUUACUUGACGUAGACCCGAAACCGGGCGACCUACCCAUGAGCAGGAUGAAGCGAAAGUAAAAUUUCGUGGAGGUCCGAACCCACGAGCGUUGAAAAGCUCGGGGAUGACUUGUGGGUAGCGGUGAAAUUCCAAUCGAGCCCGGAGAUAGCUGGUUCUCCCCGAAAUAGCUUUAGGGCUAGCCUCAAGGUGAGAGAUACGGAGGUAGAGCACUGAAUGUCCUAGGGGGUAUUGCACCUACCGAAGACUAUCAAACUCCGAAUGCCGUCAUCUUAUACUUGGGAGUCAGACUGUGGGUGAUAAGAUUCAUAGUCGAAAGGGAAACAGCCCAGAUCGUCAGCUAAGGUCCCUAAAUGUAAGUUAAGUGGUAAAGGAUGUGGGAUUGUACAGACAACCAGGAUGUUGGCUUAGAAGCAGCCUCUCAUUCAAAGAGUGCGUAAUAGCUCACU
Molecule: ribosomal RNA, 464 nt
Filed under: Clostridioides difficile
Lineage: Bacteria; Bacillati; Bacillota; Clostridia; Peptostreptococcales; Peptostreptococcaceae
Description: bacterial LSU rRNA
Rfam family: Bacterial large subunit ribosomal RNA
Source: RNAcentral